CAGCACAGAAUGAGAAAGCUACAUCCUUUCCAGUACAGAUGCAAGAGAAAAGUAUCCUUGCCCUUUCUGUCUGUCUGAUUGUGGCAGACAUGAUUGAAUGGGGGAAUACAGGG
Molecule: small nucleolar RNA, 113 nt
Filed under: Myotis brandtii (Brandt's bat)
Lineage: Eukaryota; Metazoa; Chordata; Mammalia; Chiroptera; Vespertilionidae
Description: Small nucleolar RNA SNORA31
Rfam family: Small nucleolar RNA SNORA31
About the family: ACA31 (SNORA31) belongs to the H/ACA class of snoRNAs which are thought to guide the sites of modification of uridines to pseudouridines. ACA31 is predicted to guide the pseudouridylation of U3713 in 28S rRNA and U218 in 18S rRNA.
Source: Rfam by way of RNAcentral